Molecule: ribosomal RNA, 253 nt
Filed under: uncultured bacterium
Lineage: Bacteria
Description: partial 16S ribosomal RNA
Rfam family: Bacterial small subunit ribosomal RNA
Source: RNAcentral
GACGUAGGGCGCGAGCGUUGUCCGGAUUUAUUGGGCGUAAAGAGCUCGUAGGCGGUUUGUCGCGUCGUCCGUGAAAACUCACAGCUUAACUGUGAGCUUGCGGUCGAUACGGGCAGACUAGAGUGAUGUAGGGGAGACUGGAAUUCCUGGUGUAGCGGUGAAAUGCGCAGAUAUCAGGAGGAACACCGAUGGCGAAGGCAGGUCUCUGGGCAUUAACUGACGCUGAGGAGCGAAAGCAUGGGGAGCGAACAGG